UACGGAGGAUGCGAGCGUUAUCCGGAUUUAUUGGGUUUAAAGGGUGCGCAGGCGGCCUGUUAAGUCAGCGGUAAAAGCCCGGGGCCCAACCCCGGGACUGCUCUUGGAACUGCAUGGCUGGAGUACAGGAGGGGCAGGCGGAAUUCCUAGUGUAGCGGUGAAAUGCGUAGAUAUUAGGAGGAACACCGGUGGCGAAGGCGGCCUGCUGGACUGUGACUGACGUUGAGGCCCGAAGGCGUGGGGAGCAAACAGG
This 253-nucleotide ribosomal RNA is filed under the name uncultured Eubacteriales bacterium. RNAcentral describes it as "uncultured Clostridiales bacterium partial 16S ribosomal RNA". It matches the Rfam family "Bacterial small subunit ribosomal RNA", at positions 524 to 776 of the family's 1533-position model. The record is from RNAcentral. Lineage: Bacteria; Bacillati; Bacillota; Clostridia; Eubacteriales.